Prionailurus viverrinus (fishing cat) is the source of this 865-nucleotide long non-coding RNA. RefSeq lists it as uncharacterized. Lineage: Eukaryota; Metazoa; Chordata; Mammalia; Carnivora; Felidae. The transcript has 5 exons. The record is from RefSeq and is a predicted model, not a curated record.
UCAAGCGAAAGAGGGGCGUGUCCGUGGGGCCCGUGGCGGAGGAUGGAGAGCAUGUCAGAUGCAAAGGGCUUGGGUGGGAGGAAACACAUGGUCUUAGGGGAACUGAAAGAAAACAGGCAGCCAGGCAGCCAAAAGCAAGAAAGACUGUGGUGAGACUCGGGCAAAGCUAGCUCUUCCCUGGCUUCGGACGCCAUGGUGAAGGAUUCAAUUUUAUCCCAUGGCAUUGGGGAGCUACGAGAAGGCUCUGAACAGAACUUGCGGAAGAAGUUGAAGGCCACCACGGUGUACAGGCAGGCCCCCCGCCACACCUGCUUCCCAUUAUGGGUGACGGAGGACAGGAUGGUGCGCAGCGUCUUGACCCCCAUGGCAAUGUCCAGGAGGUGGGCCGCAAAGAAGAAGUUGUUGUAGUGUCCCAGGAGGGACAUCACCAUGUACCAGCCCAGGGAGCGUCUGGAGGAUUGGGAGCACUCUGCAGUAAUGGAGCACUCUGGCACGUGUGCUUGAAUGCGUAGAAGUUCAAUGUGCCUUCGAUGGUGACGAUGAGAGCACAGGAUGUCCUUGGUGUGGUUUCUCUCCCUCCUCUCACCGCUUCUCCUGGGCAGGACCCCACAAUAGAAGAACUUCCAACACUUAUCCAGGGCUCACUGCGCCCCGGAAACCACGUGAGUUCGUCUCGUUUCAUCGUUACGAGACCCUCGGUGCUACUGUUUGUCCUCUUUUUACAGAUUAGGAAACUGAGGCACAGAGAGGCUAAAUGACUUGGCCAAGAAUUCCUAGCUAGCAUGUGGUCAACCCAGGCUGCCUGACCUUGCGUUCUUAUUCUGGAGAUGAUGAGCCCCUGCUGCAUGAACACACGAAACUGGAC